UCCCAUUAACAAUAUCCAAUGAAAAUAACAAAGGUCUUCCCUUGACUACCAUUAACAAUAUCAAUUGGCAUCUGCAUUUGACAUAACCAAGCACAAGCAUAACCAAACACACUGUCCAAACUUGAUGUUGCCCAAAAAUCUUAAAUAUUAAACAAAGUUCUUAAUAAUUAAACAUUGAUAUCUCAUGUUCCUACUGGCUUCCAACUUAAUCUCUCAUGUUCUCCAACUGACUUGACUGAUUAACUGUUUCCAUUGUGCUUGAAGUUGGUGGAUUGUUGCUUUAUGUAAGUUUGGUUCUAUACAUUCUUGUAGCAGGAGGUGUGUUAUUUCUGCUUGAUCCAUCUUGAUAUAUGACUUCGCCUGGAGUUGGCAUCUGCAUUUGACAUAACCAAG
This 393-nucleotide long non-coding RNA is filed under the name Panax ginseng (ginseng). RNAcentral describes it as "long non-coding RNA (PGIN_LNC015426)". Lineage: Eukaryota; Viridiplantae; Streptophyta; Magnoliopsida; Apiales; Araliaceae. The record is from RNAcentral.